This 940-nucleotide ribosomal RNA is filed under the name uncultured bacterium. RNAcentral's name for it is "bacterial SSU rRNA". It matches the Rfam family "Bacterial small subunit ribosomal RNA", at positions 28 to 977 of the family's 1533-position model. The record is from RNAcentral.
GGUGAACGCUGGCGGCGUGCUUGACACAUGCAAGUCGAACGGUAUGUGGCAACACAUAGAGUGGCGAACGGGUGAGUAACACGUGGGAACGUACCUUCUGCAGGGGGAUAACUGACCGAAAGGACAGCUAAUACCGCAUAAGACCGAGAGGAGAAAGGUGCAACAGCAUCGGCAGAGGAGCGGCCCGCGGACCAUCAGCUAGUUGGUGGGGUAAGAGCCUACCAAGGCAACGACGGAUAGCCGGCGUGAGAGCGUGGCCGGCCACAAGGACACUGAGAUACGGGUCCUACUCCUACGGGAGGCAGCAGUGCGGAAUUUUAGAUAAUGGAGGCAACUCUGAUCUAGCGACGCCGCGUGCAGGAAGAAGGUCUUCGGAUUGUAAACUGCUGUGGUAAGGGAAAAAUGCCAUGUAGAGUGGAAAGCUACAUGGAGGGAUGGUACUUUACUAGAAAGCCCCGGCUAACUACGUGCCAGCAGCCGCGGUAAUACGUAGGGGGCGAGCGUUACCCGGAAUCACUGGGCGUAAAGGGAGCGUAGGUGGCCUGACAUGUCGACUGUGAAAACCCGGAGCUCAACUCCGGACUUGCAGUUGAAACUGCCAGGCUUGAGGACGGUAGAGGAAGACGGAACUGCCAGUGUAGGGGUAAAAUCCUUAGAUAUUGGCAGGAACGCCGGUGACGAAGGUGGUUUUCUGGGCCGGUUCUGACACUGAUGCUCGAAAGCCAGGGGAGCGAACGGGAUUAGAUACCCCGGUAGUCCUGGCCCUAAACGAUGUUCACUAGGUGUGGGGAGCGGAAAGCUUUCCGUGCUAAAGCUAACGCGAUAAGUGAACCGCCUGGGGAGUACGCCCGCAAGGGUGAAACUCAAAGGAAUUGACGGGGGCCCGCACAAGCGGUGGAGCGUGUGGUUUAAUUCGAUGCUAAGCGAAGGACCUUACCAA